AUGGCUUCGCCCUCCAAUAGCUUACAGGUGUGAUAAAUUGAAAAACUAUACAUAUGUUCCAAACUUUCAUUGCAAAAAUGGAUGCAAUGGAAUUGUAACCACGCCCUCCGAUUGUGCUCGAUACUACUACAAGGGCAAAAAUAAAUCGUCAUAAACUUAAAAUUUCGCGUUAGGGAGUCUUAGGGAUAGUUUGGAAACAAAUGAACAAAUGAUGUUGCAGUAGUAUAUCGCCAGUGCUAUCAAUCACAUUGUGUCAUACCAUAUGCUGUUGGAAAGAAUGCCACGGAAGCCACCAAUGAAG
Molecule: long non-coding RNA, 301 nt
Organism: Bactrocera tryoni
Lineage: Eukaryota; Metazoa; Arthropoda; Insecta; Diptera; Tephritidae
Exons: 3
Source: RefSeq, a predicted model, not a curated record